RNAcentral lists this unclassified non-coding RNA (306 nucleotides) under Hevea brasiliensis (rubber tree). The record is from RNAcentral. Lineage: Eukaryota; Viridiplantae; Streptophyta; Magnoliopsida; Malpighiales; Euphorbiaceae.
AGCAUGUUCAAACAACUCUCUUGCUCGUUCCAGUUUUGUCUUCCCAUAUCUCUUUACAAACUUUGAAAGAUAUGUGACCCAUAUGUCUUUCACGUGAGGGUACUUGAAUAUUUUCACACCCCUUUCAUAUACCUUGAAUGCAUCUUCAAAGUACUUAUGUUCUUCUAGAAGUAAUGCAUAAUUGAUAAUGAUUUGUGGUGUGGCUAUUCUCAGGUCCAAUAUCCGCUCAUAAACAGCUCGAGUGGACUCCAAGGUCCCAAGACCCUCUUCCAAAUCAACAUAAAAGGUCCAGAGUCUCAAGGACUU